GUAAUACCAAUAACAUAUUGUUAUAAAAUAUAGUAAUAAUGAUAAUGUAGUGCAAUAAAAUACUAUAGAAAUAUUCUGAAAUGGACAAAAUAAUGGAAAACUAAAAUGCAUUUCUUUUCUAUGAUUAUGAUUAUGUUGAUCUCAGAUGAAGAUGUGUUUUGUAAUAUUAGUUAUUGAAGUUAUGAACGUGUGUUUUUGGUCUAUAUAUCUGUAAACACUCAGAACACUUCCUGCUGCAGAUCAUGUGACCAGUUUUAAAGUUGCAUGGUGAAUCCUGAGCACAGCCUGAUCUAAACUACAGCGUAUUAUUGUAUAAUAAUUCCAGACUGUAGUUAUUACUGUAUGAUUAUUAAAUAUGGUGUUUUAUUGUAUAAUAAUUCUGUAUUUGUAUAAUAGUUACAGAUGUAUUUGUGUUUCUCUGUAUAUUUUAUUAUUUUCCUCCUGAUUUUCACCUGUUCUUCAACACUCAGAACCCACAGGAUAGAAAACCACCACAGAGCAGUGAUUAGCAGUGAUUAGCAUGGUGGUGGUGUAUGAGGUGUUAGUGAGUGUUGAGCUGGUACAGUGAGUGGAUCAGAUACAGCAGUGAUUAGCAGUGAUUAGCAUGGUGGUGGUGUAUGAGGUGUUAGUGUGUGUUGAGCUGGUACAGUGAGUGGAUCAGAUACAGCAGUGAUUAGCAGUGAUUAGCAUGGUGGUGGUGUAUGAGGUGUUAGUGUGUGUUGAGCUGGUACAGUGAGUGGAUCAGAUACAGCAGUGAUUAGCACUGAUUAGCAUGGUGGUGGUGUAUGAGGUGUUAGUGUGUGUUGAGCUGGUACAGUGAGUGGAUCAGAUACAGCAGUGAUUAGCAGUGAUUAGCAUGGUGGUGGUGUAUGAGGUGUUAGUGAGUGUUGAGCUGGUACAGUGAGUGGAUCAGAUACAGCAGUGAUUAGCAUGGUGGUGGUGUAUGAGGUGUUAGUGUGUGUUGAGCUGGUACAGUGAGUGGAUCAGAUGCAGCAGUGAUUAGCAUGGUGGUGGUGUAUGAGGUGUUAGUGUGUGUUGAGCUGGUACAGUGAGUGAAUCAGAUACAGCAGUGAUUAGCAGUGAUUAGCAUGGUGGUGGUGUAUGAGGUGUUAGUGAGUGUUGAGCUGGUGGUACAGUGAGUGGAUCAGAUACAGCAGUGAUUAGCAGUGAUUAGCAUGGUGGUGGUGUAUGAGGUGUUAGUGAGUGUUGAGCUGGUAGUAGUCAGAGACACAAAGACAGAAGCUCUGAAUAUGCUGCUGCACAGUUUACAGGACAGUGUCCCACAGUACUCCUCCCUUACAGGACACUGCCCACAGGACUGUAAAUGGAAAACCAUGUUUCACUAUGAUGUUCAAUUCAGUGAUUUUAUAGGAUGAAUUACAGACUAAUUCAGUGAAUCGAUUUAGGAGUGAGUCGUCCUGGAGCUCCACCCACUGAAUCGAUUCACUGAAUCAGUUCAAAAUGACAUCUUAUACUGAAACUCUUUGAUUUACAGAAUCAAAGUCAAAAAAAGUUUAUCAAAGCAGUAUCAUAUUUAAUCAAACAGUCAAACAGUCAGAUCAAACAGUCAGAUCAAACAGUCAGAUCAAACAAUCUGAUCAAACAAUCUGAUCAAACAGUCAGAUCAGUGGGAGUGUAUAAGGGGAGUUGUAGUGUUUGGGCUGGUGGUGGUGGUGG
Molecule: long non-coding RNA, 1677 nt
Organism: Astyanax mexicanus (Mexican tetra)
Lineage: Eukaryota; Metazoa; Chordata; Actinopteri; Characiformes; Acestrorhamphidae
Exons: 3
Source: RefSeq, a predicted model, not a curated record